UACGGGGGGGGGCAAGCGUUGUUCGGAAUUACUGGGCGUAAAGGGCUCGUAGGCGGCCAACUAAGUCAGACGUGAAAUCCCUCGGCUUAACCGGGGAACGGCCUCUGAUACUGGCUGGCUGGAGUUCGGGAGAGGGGUGCGGAAUUCCAGGUCGUAGCGGUGAAAUGCGUAGAUAUCUGGAGGAACACCGAUGGCGAAGGCAGGUCUCUGGGCCAUAACUGACGCUGAGAAGCGAAAGCAUGGGGAGCGAACAGG
This 255-nucleotide ribosomal RNA is filed under the name uncultured bacterium. Its description in RNAcentral is "partial 16S ribosomal RNA". It matches the Rfam family "Bacterial small subunit ribosomal RNA", at positions 524 to 776 of the family's 1533-position model. The record is from RNAcentral.